RNAcentral lists this long non-coding RNA (810 nucleotides) under Rattus norvegicus (Norway rat). RNAcentral describes it as "long non-coding RNA NONRATT009591". Lineage: Eukaryota; Metazoa; Chordata; Mammalia; Rodentia; Muridae. The record is from RNAcentral.
CCUGGCAGCUUCCCGUCCUAGCUAACGGAAGCGGCUCCCGACGCGGGCGGAGGGGCCUCUAGAACAUGGUUUGCCUCUCUGUGCAUGGAUGACUGAUUUCUAUGGACCCGUACUUCUCGUUUCCAGCCACACCCAGACAUCCUGCGGCAGCUCAGCUCAGCACAUUCAGAACCAGAUUUGUGAUUGUCUCCCUCCAGCCUGCUCCCGUUUCUGUUACGGUUAUCAUGAUCUGUCUCUGUGAACCUUCAAGUAGAUGACUUGGCAGGUUAGAGCACCGGCCGCUGACCUUGUCCUGCUUGGCUGAGACUUGACCCGACUAAGGACAUGGAAGGAACGAAGAGAAAACAAGCAAGCGACAGAAGGGCUGGGAUCAGGUGGGCUGUGCACACUGUGAUGGAGCUGCGAUGGCUGUAAAUACCAGGCUGAAGUAUCAUCAACCCUUUAUAAGCAAUUAUACUUGUACACACAGACAUACAUGCAUACAUACAUCUGUGCAUACAUACAUCUGUGCAUACAUACAUACGUGCACAGACCAUAGCAAUACACACAAUCAGUAAGUAAAUUUAAUUUUUCUUUAUCUUUGAGAAUUUCAUACAUGUCUACAAUGAAAUAUGAUUAUAUAUACUCCUCAUUUCCUCUAACUUCCUUCGUGUACCCCCUAACACGUCCCACAAAGAACCUCACGUCUCUUUUUAAAACAAUCAUUAAAUCCAGUUGUGCUGCCCAUAUAUACAUGGUGUAAGAGGAGCUACUGGAACAUGGGAAUCACUGGCCACACCCCCUACAAAGAAUAAAUCUUUCCCCAAAACU